AUCUAGCUGACGAGUCCCAGAUAGGACGAAAUCCUAAUCAUGGAU
RNAcentral lists this non-coding RNA (45 nucleotides) under Trichobilharzia regenti. The record is from RNAcentral. Lineage: Eukaryota; Metazoa; Platyhelminthes; Trematoda; Strigeidida; Schistosomatidae.